GCCAUGCGAGUUGAAUGGGAAACCUAAAAAUCCCAUGGCAAACUGCUCAGUAACACAUGAUCAACUUACCCUAUAGAGGAAAAUAACCUCGGGAAACUGAGGAUAAUGUUCCAUAGUUGAAUCGGCUUGGAAAAGUUUUUCAAUUAAAGGGAUAAGGAAAAUGGUUCUUAUCUGCUAUAGGAUAGGAUCGUGCUCGAUUAUGGUUGUUGGUGAGGUAAAGGCUCACCAAGCCGAUAAUCGAUAGGGGCCGUGAGAGCGGGAGCCCCGAGAUGGGUACUGAGACAACGACCCAGGCCUUACGAGGCGCAGCAGGCGCGAAACCUCCGCAAUACACGAAAGUGUGACGGGGUUACCCAAAGUGUUCUAUUUAGAACUGUGGUAGGUGAGUAAUGUUCCCUACUAGAAAGGAGAGGGCAAGGCUGGUGCCAGCCGCCGCGGUAAAACCAGCUCUUCAAGUGGUCGGGAUAAUAUUGGGCUUAAAGUGUCCGUAGCCGGUUUAGUAAGUUCCUGGUAAAAUCGGGUAGCUUAACUAUCUAUAUGCUAGGAAUACUGCUAUACUAGAGGGCGGGAGAGGUCUGAGGUACUACAGGGGUAGGGGUGAAAUCUUAUAAUCCUUGUAGGACCACCAGUGGCGAAGGCGUCAGACUGGAACGCGCCUGACAGUGAGGGACGAAAGCCAGGGGAGCGAACCGGAUUAGAUACCCGGGUAGUCCUGGCCGUAAACGAUGCAUACUAGGUGAUGGUACGGCCAUGAGCCGUAUCAGUGCCGUAGGGAAACCGUUAAGUGUGCCGCCUGGGAAGUACGGUCGCAAGGCUAAAACUU
RNAcentral lists this ribosomal RNA (823 nucleotides) under uncultured archaeon. Its description in RNAcentral is "bacterial SSU rRNA". It matches the Rfam family "Archaeal small subunit ribosomal RNA", at positions 48 to 857 of the family's 1478-position model. The record is from RNAcentral.